UACGACUACAUAUCAGGCAUAUCAAUAAGCGGAGGAAAAGAAACUAACUAGGAUUCCCUCAGUAACGGCGAGUGAAGCGGGAAGAGCUCAAAUUUGAAAUCUUCAAGGUUUUACCUUGACGAAUUGUAGUUUAAAGAAGUGUUUUCUGUUGGAGUUUUGGUAAAAGUUCUUUGGAAUAGGACAUCAUAGAGGGUGAGAAUCCCGUAUUUGACCAUUAUUUCCAGCUUUGUGAUACACUUUCAAAGAGUCGGAUUGUUUGGGAAUGCAGUCCAGAAUGGGUGGUAAAUUUCAUCUAAAGCUAAAUAUUGGCGAGAGACCGAUAGCGAACAAGUACCGUGAGGGAAAGAUGAAAAGAACUUUGAAAAGAGAGUUAAACAGUACGUGAAAUUGUCAAAAGGGAAGCGUUUGACACCAGUGUUGUUUCUACGAAAAUCAAUUUAUGAUGGCUUGAUGCUAAGCUUUAAGACUUUAUCCGCUUGUUGUUUAGUUUUCUUGUCUUUGUGAAUGCACUUUUCGUGGAACAAGUCAACAUCAAUUUCUUUUGCUGUAAAAGGGUAAGAGGAAGGUGGCUUCGGCUUCGGUUGAAGUGUUUAUAGCCUUUUAUCUCUGCAGUCGGAGAGAUUGAGGUCUGCAGCGUAGACUCUUCGGGGUUAGAUACGUCGGUGCUAAGCUAUAGCUUUUCAUAGACAACUUGUUGACUAUGUUUAGUCAUGUGGCUUACCCGCUGGCGCUAUUUUACCUACGCUUAGGAUGUUGACUGAUAUGUAGUCGUA
RNAcentral lists this ribosomal RNA (773 nucleotides) under uncultured Neocallimastigales. Its description in RNAcentral is "partial large subunit ribosomal RNA". It matches the Rfam family "Eukaryotic large subunit ribosomal RNA", at positions 24 to 644 of the family's 3401-position model. Lineage: Eukaryota; Fungi; Neocallimastigomycota; Neocallimastigomycetes; Neocallimastigales. The record is from RNAcentral.